This 1812-nucleotide ribosomal RNA is filed under the name Durio zibethinus. RNAcentral's name for it is "SSU rRNA". It matches the Rfam family "Eukaryotic small subunit ribosomal RNA". Lineage: Eukaryota; Viridiplantae; Streptophyta; Magnoliopsida; Malvales; Malvaceae. The record is from RNAcentral.
ACUUGGUUAUCCUGCCAGUAGUCAUAUGCUUGUCUCAAAGAUUAAGCCAUGCAUGUCUAAGUAUGAACUAAUUUAGACUGUGAAAUUAUGAAUGGCUCAUUGAAUUAGUUAUAGUUUGUUUAACAGUAUCUACUAUUCAGAUAACUGUAGUAAUUCUACAACUAAAGCAUACAACAAACCUCUACUUUUGGAAAGGAUGCAUUUAUUAGAUGAAAGGUCAACGUGGGCUUUGCCCUUUGCUUUAAUGAUUCAUUAUAACUUGACGGAUCACAUGACCUUUGUGCCAACGAUGCAUCAUUCAAAUUUUUACCUUAUCAACUUUUGAUGGUAGGAUAGUGGCCUUCUAUGGUGGUGAUCGAUGAUGGAGAAUUAAGGCUCGAUUGUGAAGAGAGAACCUGAGAAAAGGCUAACACAUCCAAAAAAAGUUGCAAGCGAAAAAUUACCCAAUCUUGACAUAGGGAGGUUAUGAUAAUAAAUAACAAUACCGGGCUCUAUGAGUUUAGUAAUUGAAAUGAAUACAAUUUAAAUCCCUUAAUGAGGAUCCAUUGAAGGGCCAUCCAUUGGAGGGCAAGUCUGGUGCUAGUAGUCACGGUAAUUCUAGCUUCAAUAGCAUAUACUUAAGUUAUUUUUUGUUAAGAAACUCAUAGUUGAAACUAGGGUUAGGUCAUUUGAUCCACCUCACGUGAACACCAGUCCACUUGUUUUUAUAACCAACGAUGUGCUCUUGACCUUAACUAGCCAAGUCAUUCCUCUGAUGAUGUUACUUUGAAGAAAUUAGAGUGCUUAAAGUAGGCCUAUGUUUGUAUACAUUAGCAUAGGAUAACAUUAUAGGACUUUUGUGCUAUUGUGUUGGCCUUUGGGAUCAGAGUAUUGAUUAACAGUGACAGUUAGGGGCAUUCGUAUUUUAUAGUCAAAGCUAAAAUUCUUGGAUUUAUGAAAGAUGAACAACUGCGAAAACAAUUUACCAAAGAUGUUUUCAUUAAUCAAAAUUGAAAGUUGGGGGCUAAAAGUUGAUCAAAUACCAUCCUAGUCUCAACUAUAAAUGAUGCCAACUAGGGAUCAAUGAAUGUUACUUUUAGGACUCUGUCGACACUUAUGAAAAAUCAAAGUAUUCGGAUUCUAGGGGUAGUAUGGUUGCAAGGCUGAAACUUAAAGAAAUUGAUGAAAGGGCACCACUAGGAGUAGAGCUUGUAGUUUAAUUUGACUCAACACAAGGUAACUUAUAAGGUCCAAAUAUAGUAAGGAUUAACAUACUGAAAGCUCUUUCUUGAUUCUAUAAGUGGUGGUGCAUGGUCGCUCUUAGUUGGUAUAGCGAUUUGUCUGCUUAAUUCUAUUAACGAAUGAGACCUCAACCUAUUAACUAGCUACGAGGAGAUGAUCCUCCAUGGCUAGCUUCUUAAAGGGACUAUGGCUGCUUAGACUAAGGAAGUUUAAGGUAAUAACAAGUCUAUAAUGCCUUUAGAUGUUUUAGGCUGCACAUGUGCUACAUUGAUGUAUUCAAUGAGUCUAUAGCCUUGGCCGAUAGGCCUGAGUAAUCUUUGAAAUUUCAUAAUGAUAAGCAUAGAUCAUUGCAAUUGUUGGUCUUCAAUGAGGAAUUCCUAGUAAGUGCAAGUCAUCAGUUCACGUUGACUACGUCCCUGCCUUUUGUACACGUCGUCUAUCGCUUCUACCAAUUGAAUGGUUUGGUGAAGUGUUCAAAUUAUAGCGAUAUGGACAAUUCACUACCUGUGAUGUUGCAAGAAGUCCACUAAACCUUAUCAUUUAGAGGAAGGAAAAGUCAUAACAAGGUUUCCAUAAGUGAACUUGCAGAAG